This 200-nucleotide unclassified non-coding RNA is filed under the name Hevea brasiliensis (rubber tree). Lineage: Eukaryota; Viridiplantae; Streptophyta; Magnoliopsida; Malpighiales; Euphorbiaceae. The record is from RNAcentral.
AUCUUUUUGUUGAGUUAUAUGAAAGGGCCUGCAAAGUGCAAAGUUUUCUGUUAAUCUCGUCUUGUAAUUUCAACAUACUCUGUAGCCUGGUAUUUUAGUUUAGAAUAUGGUAGAAGGAGCUGUCCUCACCUCCUUUCAACAUAUACUGCUUCAAUUUGAAAGGAGGUGAGGACAGCUCCUUCUACCAUAUUCUAAACUAA